Molecule: long non-coding RNA, 596 nt
Organism: Podarcis muralis (Common wall lizard)
Lineage: Eukaryota; Metazoa; Chordata; Lepidosauria; Squamata; Lacertidae
Source: RefSeq, a predicted model, not a curated record
CCACUUACAAUUUUUCUUUGCUGGGGAAAGGCACCAACCGUGUCCUUUUAAUGCAACGAAGUGCUAGUUUCCAUGCUGUGGCAUUAAAAGCAAAGGGCACAAUGCUAACCAUGUCUACUCAGAAGUAAGCCCUACUGAAUUCAAUGGGGCUUACUCCCAAGUAAGUGGCUUUAGGAUUGCAGCUGCUUCCUGACAUUUAAAGAAGAAACCUUCUUCGCUCACACGCUGCUAAAUACUCACAGCUUGCCUGACAGACAGCGUUUAGCAAGUAGGGGCUGAACUGCGGCAACAUGGGGCCUCCAACUCCCAACCCACAGACAGGGCCCAGGAAGAUGCUGUGGUCCAUGGCAUCAAAAGCCGCUGAGAGAUCUCCAAGCCAGCCUUCGUGUGGCCCUCUCCCACCUCUCCCUUGAAGGAGGUCACCUGCCAGGGUGACCAAGGCUGAUUCCUCACCAAACUCAGUCCUAAAUCUCUGCUAACAUCGGUCCAGAUAAUCUGUUUCCUCCAAGGGGGCCUGCAGCUGAAUCCAAUGCCAUUUAUACAGGAAGGUUAAAACCCAAGGAAAAAUCUGUACCAGCUGCCUUGCAAAAUAUCUU